Gallus gallus (chicken) is the source of this 2667-nucleotide long non-coding RNA. Lineage: Eukaryota; Metazoa; Chordata; Aves; Galliformes; Phasianidae. The record is from Ensembl.
GUUUCUCUGUUGAAAAUACACUGUUAUAUAUUAAAAUUUCUUUCCUUUAGAUAAGAAAUCAUAUUUGCACGUGUUUUUUGGGGGGGAGAUGGGAUUGAAGGAGGCACCUGGUUAUGUUGUUUUUGGUGGUGUCAAUGAAAUGAAUUGAAAAUGAGAAGGUUGGGUGGGAUGAUCUCUGUGGUCUUUUCCCACCUCCAUGAGCAGUGUUUGCUUUCCCAGCUCCUUCCCCGGCAGCCCACAGCAGACGUCUGGGGGGAGCAGCACUGCUUGCCUCUUGAAGGGUGAUUUCAUGGCCAGGCCGGGAAUGUGCGCCGCGUCCCUCUGCCACGGGGCAGAGAUGCUGCUGGAGGAGGUUCUGCUCAUCUGCUGUGCUCCUGAGAUGGGCACCCUCUGCACCGCCAAGGGGCCUGCUGCUGGCUCUGAGCGCUGUGUGCUGCUGGACAGCCGGCUGUGCUCGUGCUGUAGGGGGGCCAUGCGGUUUGGCAAGGGGCUGAAUGGGGACCCAGCACCAUCUGCAGCACAGAGCGGGCGUGAGACCCCCAGAGCCCCAGAGCUGGCCUUGGGCAAACAGGGAAACCCAACCCACAGCGAGCCCUGCGCAUGGACAGGGCUGUGCCUGGCCAUGGCCACAAGCCCAGGUCUGCGGGAGUGGGGACCCAGGUGGAAUGCUGUGCCAUGUCUGCAUCUGCAGCACCACAAACACAGCCCAUACACACAUCUGGGCUUUCCUUGGAACCCCGUGGCUUUUGAGGGCUGUGUCAGCUCAGUGAGCAGCUCCUCCAGCUUGGGGCAUCCUCCUUGGGGAUGCAGUCAGUGGCAGGGAGAACAAACAGACAGCACUGGGGCAGGUAUGGUGUGUAAGGUAGAACUCAGGGUGGAUUCAGGAACAGAUACAGGCAGGGAGUUGAAAGGCACACGUUGAGGCGUGAGGGAGACAUUAGGUUUGCCAUCAAAGGCUCAUCCCCAUGGUCUGGGCAUCCAAGACCAUUUUGCUUAAUUACAUCCUGAAAGUGUGCAAAAGAAGUGCUGGGAGAGAGGAUUUCACAGCAGUCCUGCAGGCUGGAGGGAGGGGAACUGCAGAGGAGGAGGCUGAAGUGCUCCUGUCCCAACCAGAGAAACAGCCAGGGCCGUGCAAACGGGCAGAAGAGCCCCGUGGUGCCCAGCCCAGCCCAGAAGAGGGCCGAGGGAAGAGCCAGCAUCACCCCGCACUGCACUGCACACCCAUACACGUUCAUGCUCCUAAUCGUAUCCAGUUCCAGGUUAGUAAUGAGCAGAGUUGCCUGAGCAUCGCAGGGGCAUCGUGGGAGCUCUGAAACAAGUACAGGAUCAGCAAGGAAAAUAUCUGAUGGCGAUUACAGCAACCAGGUUGGGAACCAGGCAGGAGGAAUUGUUCAGCAUGGUUUGGGGCCGACACUCAGCCUGGGGAAGUGCUGCAUGCAGAACGUGAUCCAUCACAGCUCCUGCUGAAUCCCCCCAAAGGGGAAAUGUGGAGCACUCAGUCCAAGCUGGUGGGGUUGUGAUACACUGGGAAGGAGCAGACUCGUGUCUUCCAGGAGCUGGAAGUCUUCCUCCAACAGAGGCAGCCCAGGAUGAAUGGGCGCUGGGAGGGGCGGCCUUUGGGCACAGGGGAGGUAGGGGCAGUGCCAAGGCUGUGUGAGCAGCCCCAUUUGCACAGGGAAGGAGCAUCCCUGGGUGUACGUUUUCCUGGGAAGGGCACCAGGCGCAGGCAGCGGGGAGCAUUCAGCAGGGGAUGGCCACACAGCACAGGGUCACAUCUCCUGAGUUCUUCACCCUCUGCUCUCGUCUUUCUUCCCUCCAUCUCCCUGUGCUCUGCAACUUCCUGGCCAUCCUCCCCCACCAUUUCCCAUUACUUCCUCUCCCUCCCCUUCCUGCCCCUUCCCAGCCCUCCACAACCUCCUGUUUCAGGUAUGUUCAGCGUUCUGCCAAGCAGGUUGUGCCUGUGGCCUCGCAAGUCCCUGCAGGAGGUGCAUCUCUGCCUGCUAACCUGGAACACGUGCUUGCUCCACUGCCCAGCUGCGAGCCAGGGCCGAGCCAUAGGUUUGCUUUCAUCCUCCCAGCUGUGCAGGAAGUACUCGUAUAAGCACAAACACCUGGAAUGGCCUGCAUUGAAAGGCACCUCAAGGAUCAUCAAGCUCAAACCACCCUGCUGGAUGCAGUGUCACCAACCUCCAUCUCUAAGACUAGACCAGGCUGCCCGGGGCCCCAUCCAACCUGGCCUUGAUCACCUCCACUCCAGGUAUGGACGGGGCAUCCACAGCCUCUCUGGGCAGCUGUUCCAGCACCUCACCAGUAUCUCAAUAAAGAACUUCCCCAGUAUCCAACUUAAAUCUUUCCUCCAUCAACUUCAAACACUUUCCACUUGUCCUGCCACCAUCAUCCCUUGUAAAAAGUUGACUCCCCUCCUGUUUGUAGUCUCCUUUUAGCUAAUGGAAGGCUGCACUGAGGUCACUGUGCAGCUUUCUCUUCUCCACGGUGGACAAGCCCACCUCCCUCAGCCUGUCCUCAUAGGGGAGGUGCUCAUUUCCUCUGAUCAUCUUUGUGGCCCUCCUCUGGACCCUCUCCAACAGCUCCCUGUCUUUCAUGUAUUGGGGUCCCAGACCUGGACACAGUACUGCAGAUGGGGCUCCACGAGGGCAGAGUAGAGAG